This 1260-nucleotide ribosomal RNA is filed under the name Cryobacterium psychrotolerans. Its description in RNAcentral is "bacterial SSU rRNA". It matches the Rfam family "Bacterial small subunit ribosomal RNA", at positions 57 to 1333 of the family's 1533-position model. The record is from RNAcentral. Lineage: Bacteria; Bacillati; Actinomycetota; Actinomycetes; Micrococcales; Microbacteriaceae.
GCAGUCGACGAUGAUGGAGAGCUUGCUCUUCGGAUUAGUGGCGAACGGGUGAGUAACACGUGAGCAAUCUGCCCUUGACUCUGGGAUAAGCGUUGGAAACGACGUCUAAUACCGGAUACGACCCUUGGAGGCAUCUCCGGGGGGUGGAAAGAAUUUUGGUCAGGGAUGAGCUCGCGGCCUAUCAGCUAGUUGGUGAGGUAAUGGCUCACCAAGGCGACGACGGGUAGCCGGCCUGAGAGGGUGACCGGCCACACUGGGACUGAGACACGGCCCAGACUCCUACGGGAGGCAGCAGUGGGGAAUAUUGCACAAUGGGCGAAAGCCUGAUGCAGCAACGCCGCGUGAGGGACGACGGCCUUCGGGUUGUAAACCUCUUUUAGUAGGGAAGAAGCGAAAGUGACGGUACCUGCAGAAAAAGCACCGGCUAACUACGUGCCAGCAGCCGCGGUAAUACGUAGGGUGCAAGCGUUGUCCGGAAUUAUUGGGCGUAAAGAGCUCGUAGGCGGUUUGUCGCGUCUGCUGUGAAAACCCGAGGCUCAACCUCGGGCCUGCAGUGGGUACGGGCAGACUAGAGUGCGGUAGGGGAGAUUGGAAUUCCUGGUGUAGCGGUGGAAUGCGCAGAUAUCAGGAGGAACACCAAUGGCGAAGGCAGAUCUCUGGGCCGUAACUGACGCUGAGGAGCGAAAGCAUGGGGAGCGAACAGGAUUAGAUACCCUGGUAGUCCAUGCCGUAAACGUUGGGAACUAGAUGUGGGGACCAUUCCACGGUCUCCGUGUCGCAGCUAACGCAUUAAGUUCCCCGCCUGGGGAGUACGGCCGCAAGGCUAAAACUCAAAGGAAUUGACGGGGGCCCGCACAAGCGGCGGAGCAUGCGGAUUAAUUCGAUGCAACGCGAAGAACCUUACCAAGGCUUGACAUAUAGAGGAAACGGCUGGAAACAGUCGCCCCGCAAGGUCUCUAUACAGGUGGUGCAUGGUUGUCGUCAGCUCGUGUCGUGAGAUGUUGGGUUAAGUCCCGCAACGAGCGCAACCCUCGUCCUAUGUUGCCAGCACGUAAUGGUGGGAACUCAUGGGAUACUGCCGGGGUCAACUCGGAGGAAGGUGGGGAUGACGUCAAAUCAUCAUGCCCCUUAUGUCUUGGGCUUCACGCAUGCUACAAUGGCCGGUACAAAGGGCUGCAAUACCGCAAGGUGGAGCGAAUCCCAAAAAGCCGGUCUCAGUUCGGAUUGAGGUCUGCAACUCGACCUCAUGAAGUCGGAGUC